Long non-coding RNA from Symsagittifera roscoffensis, 2760 nucleotides. RefSeq lists it as uncharacterized. NCBI's taxonomy places the organism in Eukaryota, Metazoa, Xenacoelomorpha, Acoela, Convolutidae. The transcript has 3 exons. The record is from RefSeq and is a predicted model, not a curated record.
CCAGCCAUGAGCUCACUAUUUUUGCAUGUAAUUCAGUUAAUUUGAGCGUUCUGGUCGAAGCCGGAGAGCAGUAACGUUUUUGUCGACCCGAUGUAAGAAAGACCACCGAAAAGUACUGGCUUAGUAGAGACGGUGAAAAACAUGCAAAGCUCUGUUUAGACGCUAGCCAGUCGUCUUAGGACUUAGUUUUGUUAUCCGUCGAUAUGUAUCUUCCGGGCGAAUGUUACACUUUGUCUGGGAUUCACCAUGUUUCUGCGAAACUUGGUAAAGUCUCAAAGUGUUUUCAUUAUUUGAAGCGUAAUGUUCCUUUUAACUCACCUGUUAAAACUAAGCUUCAAAUUUGAAUUUCUUGUGUGAGGUCCAUUUUACUUAAUAACUCUUGUAUUUGGUACCCAAAUUUAUCAAAGCUACGUGAUUUGGAAAAAUUCCAGAAAAAGGCAGUAAAGUUGAUAAUUGGUUCCACUAAUUAUACUGACAGUCUUGUGAUGUUAAACAUACUGCCUAUUUGCUAUCAAAUUAUUUUUACUGAUUGUCUUCUCUUCUUCAAACUGUUACAUAACUGUUACGACUUCGAUAUUAACGACUAUGUUACUGUUAGUGAAUCGAGACCGGGUAACAGAUCCAGUCAGAGAAUGGUAUUCUAUGUACCUCUUACCCGCAAAUUCUGUUCCCUUGGGAGCUUUUUCCAAAGAACAAUUCAUAGCGUCAAUAGUGUUUAAGCAAAAAUCGACAUCGACUCUACUCUUCAAUUUUCUUAAACAGCAACUUCAAUCAACCUUCAAUCUCGACAAUCCAUGCACUUUCUUCAUCAAAUGCCGUUGCAACCCAUGUCGUUCCUGAACAUUAACAAUUUAACUCAAAGCUUGAAUUACGCAAACUCAAAGUUUCACUUUUAUAUGUAGUAUCAUUCACUAAUAAAGUUCAUUUUUUCUUCUUCUCUCUUCAGAAGGCACGUUUGAACCCUCUGAGCACGUUAUCGAGAGAAUAGAGAAGAGGGUCAGAAAAUUAAGUAAAAUUUAGAAAAUUUCAAUUUACGAGCUAGAAUUUCGGUGAAAGACCGAAAUCGCCAUGUUGGACAAAAAGAAUAACGCAAGCAAAGAACAUCCGAACACGACACGAGGGACAGUCAAUUGAGAUUUUGCAAAAAAGAAGCUUCCAGACGCGACACGCUCGUGGGAUACUUUCGUUAUUUCCCGAAUUGUGUGGAGCCGGAAGGUUAAGUGGCAGAUUUGUGACCGAUCCGAACCUCAAAGAAACCAGAAUUAGAAAGAACAACGACGUUAUCUCUCGGGAAUUUCUGAGUUGGAGGAUGAGUGCCCGUUGACUUCUUAACAGCUUAUUACUCGUUUUAUUACUCUAAGUCCCUGAACGGUUGUUUUCUAUUGUUUUUUUUUAGACCACGAGUAGUCCAGGGCGAGGAAAGAGUCAAUCAAGCUCAUGGAUCCGAUGAGGGCUAUUCUCAUGCGUGAAGGACCGAAUGCGCGAAAAAACUCGUGAGCGAAUGACCGAAAAUAAAAUUAGCCAAAAGUCAAAUUUUAAAAAGAAGCAAUUGCCAUUCAAUUAAAUGAAGCUAUGUUUCGCUUCUUUAAUAACGAAACUGUUGAAAUAUAAAAUUUGUUCCAAUUCGGCGGCGUCAAAGACAAUUUGGAAAUUUUCCAUAUUUCUGCUGUUCUUUUAUCCGGCCAAUAUCAAUAUUCUAGUACCUGGAAAUGUUUACUAUCUUUGCAGUUUUUAGAUUACUGAAAUCUGAUUUGCUGAUUGGCUAAGAAACUAUAAUAAUGGAUUUUUAGUACCAUUUUUAGCUGCAACUGCAUUGUCUGGGGAUCGGAGAUUAUUUGUGGUUAUUAUAUAUGUGGUUAUUAUUUGCAUGUAAUCGAAAGCUAAGUAAGAAUCGUUCGGCUGAUGGCCUAAAAGUCGUAACACGUUCGUUGACCCUUACACAACAAAAGUUCCACUGGCUAGGUCGAGAAAGUGAAAAACACGUUGAGUUAAGCUAUCUGACGUCAGCCAGUCGUCAAAAAAGAACUUUUUCUCUUUUCUGUCGUUGUGUAGGUUUUGGGCGAAUAUUACAUGUUCCAUCGCUGAAAAAAUUUUUGCAACAAAUUGCUUCUGGUAUUUUUUAAAAUAUUUUCGGCUCAAUUAGUGUCUUCUCAUGUAUUGUGGGCUGAGUGGUUGCUCGGAUAUUAUAAAAAGCUUAUUUGAUGCUGGUUGUUGGUUUUCUCGAUAGUUCUGCAAUUGAUAUUUUUUUAAAAAAUGUUUUAUUUAUUUCAAUGAUUUUUUUCUUAGUUAUUUUCAGCUCUUUUUCUGUUCGAUAGCUUGCAAUGCUAUGCUUGCAUUUUGUAACAGGUGAUAGGAAUCUUCACUUCGCUUCUGUGUCGACCGAACUAUAUAUGAUAAAGAGAUCUGAAUAUACAAGCUUUUGGAAAUUCACCAUCCCAUAGAAUGCAUUUUCAGAAGCAACUUAAUUUCAUCUCAAGGUUGCACAUGACGCCAACCAGUAGUGGUGGACUAGAAGAAUUGUCAUGGUUCAAGCAAACACAACCCCGGAACAGAAAUCCCGUGACAGACAAAUAUUUUGUGGGAUUUUUUAAACCGCUCAUGUUUUUUGUUCUCAAAUUGGCUUAAAGAUUGUUAAUCUAAUAUUUGUUAGUCGCAAAUAUUGGGGCACCUUUACAGCUUUUUGGUAGCAUUUGCUUUUUGAUGGAAAGUGAUUUUCCAACUCAAAGAAUCUCGCAAUUUUUUUAUACAUAAUUUUAUACA